GGACACAAGCUGCUCCCUGAAAGGUGGUUGACACUCAGGCCAUGUCCCCAGCGCUGCAGCGGCCGGCCCAGGGGCUCUCUCUAGUCAGUCUCAUCCCCUUAGCCCCUGGCAGCGACUACCCUCUGUUCCCAUCUCAGAGCAAGGGCCAGCUAGGACCCCUGGUGUCCAGGGGAGGACCUGGGCUCCACAGGGUCCUGGGCCUGGCCCACCUGCUCCCAGCCUGCACCUGCGGCGAUUGUGGGACCCUGUUCCCGCCCCUCUGGCAAAUGCAUGUUCCACGUGUGAGACAGGAGGAUUCACCAGGCUAACCCUGACUGGGAAACCCCAGCGUCUCCCUCCCGGAGCUUCCUGGCUGCUGCCUGCCGUUUUCUGCCCCUUUGGCUCUGCCUGGCCUGGAACCCUCCUAGGGCAGGGUCCUGGGGACACGUCUGGGGAAGGCAGCCCAAUGGAUCUGCAUGCACCAUUGCCAAGCCCAGUCCAGAGACUGUGAGGGCCCUUUGAGCGCUGGAACCGGAGCUGAGAGGCACAGGGCAUCCAGCUGCCCACCGGCCUUGGGAGGAUCCCUCUGGAGUCAGCCCUGGACUUCCACACUGGUUCACGGAAGAGGCUGCAGCCAUGAGGGUGCCUGAUGGUGCCACCCAUCCACCUGGAAAUUUCCAAAAUUUGCCAUGGGGCAGAGGACAUAGAGGUGGUAGAGGGGGGAACAAGCAUGGGCGUCGUCUUUUCUCAUUUCUCCCAAGAUCUGGGCUGGUCAGCUGUGCUGCUCCAGCAAAGCAACUGAAGUUCUGUGAAGGGGUGCCAGGGGUGACAUUUCAGGAAAACAUUUGGGGCAACCUUGCCGUCCUGUCCCAGAGCCUAGACCCGAGUCCCUGGCCUGCUACAACUGGAAGAAAGGAAAAGAGCACCGUCACUGGCACAGGUUGAGGCGUAUCUACCCAGUGGACAUGGCCUGUGUAUUUCCUGCCUGGAGCAUGCCUGAGGGCUGUGGAGUAGUCCAUCCUAUGGGUGUUAAAACUUGUCACUAUUGUCAGAUAUGUAACCUCUUAUGGAGUUUUGCUAUUUUAAAUUAUGCUGCUUGGAACAUCUUUAUACUGACACUUUUCUGUAUGGCUGUGCUGCUUUCCUGAUGAAUUCCCAGAAGCAGAAGUGUCAGGUAGGGUGUCUGUGUGUGUAAGGCCCUCGCCACACAAAACCAGGGCUUUUGGGCAAGCUCAGAUUCAUUUUUCCGCAUUUGUUCCUCAUAUUAAGGAUGGGCAUCAUGAUUCUCAUUGUUCAGAUGAGAAAGCCGGGGGCUGAAGUGACCAGCCAGCAGCCACCCACAGCCGGUAAGGGACAGUUAGAAGGAAAGCCAACCUGUAAGUCCCAUACAUUUCCAGGGCAGUUUCCUGCCUCACUCUCACUCAUUUGCCUAUAUCAGACAUGCUCGCAAUUUUCCCACAAAGAUUUCCAUGAAAAUCAAAUUCUGGGCCCAGAGGUGAAAGGCAGCCUCGUGUUAAUUAGUCUGGCUUUGGUUUGGCUCAUCCACCGAGUUUGGAUGUGUGCGACUAUCUCUGUGUUUUCAUACACACACGCUGGCACUCUAACACCCACCAACACCAGUGGUGGCCAGUCCAGACGAUCCGGUCCACAUUGUCCUUCCAAACCCCCUUCGGAGCCCAGCCAGGAGCCACAGGGGGCCCUGGCUUGGCUUCCACACAUCUACUCAGCAGACUUGGCCCAAAGGACGUCUUGUUAUUUCCCCAAAUCAAAUCUCUCCCCGAGGACAAAGAUCAGGCUGCUGGAGUGAUACAAAAGAAUGAUCCGUUCCUGAGACGGCUGCUCCCAAAGACGUGUUGCAGCUGGUCUGGGGGUGGCUGAGCCCUGGCGCUCGUCCAGUGCCCUGAAGAGGACGGGGGAAGGGGAGGUGCUCCUUGGAGUAUGGGAGGCCUAGGUAUUUGCAGAGGUCUCUCAGGCCACUCUGGGGCUCUGGAAACAGCUUAGCAUUGAGACAGUUUGAUUUCGUUCACUUAUUUAUCGGCUCCUGUGUGUCUGAGAGGGCUAUAGUCAUUACCUUAUUUAAAUCAACAACCAAAUAUUGUUAUCCCCAUUUUAUUGAUGAGAAACCUAAGGCUCAGAGAGGUUAAGAAACUUGCCUCAGGUCACACAGCAGUGGGUACUCAGUCUCAGCAUGCCUGCUCCUUGCAGACAUCAGGCCCCAGCCUCUCUUCUGAGUUAGAGGUCUCUGCUGUGUGUGGUUAGCAGGCCCCAAGGAACACACCUCCACCUGGAGCUAUCUCAGGUAGAACCCAAGAUGAUUCUCAAGUGCUUGGAGGAUACAAGUGGUCCAGACUCACCCUCCCUGGUGCCCAAAUCCUGCCAGGUCUCUGAGUGGCCUCCUUCCUGAGACCAUACCACAGGCCCAGCCCACUGCUGAGGGGGCCCACUAGCAGUCCGUUCCUUCCUCCAUUUCAGGUGGCAGUGUUCCCUGAGUUGGGGCAAAGAAUCACCUCCUCUCAGGCCUGUGGCUUAGAGCCGGGCGGCCUAAAGAGGCCUUUGUCCACGGCAGAAGGAACCAGAAAAAGGAAGAGCCCAUUCUCCCAGAAAACAUGUGUUUUCUGUUUACAGAGGGGCCUGUCCAGUUCCCAUGCUUUGUUCUUUAAUAUAGAGCCAAGAAAAAAACAUCAAAUGUGCAGCUUCCUUUCUGAGGUACAUUCGGAGGCUGGAAACUCUGGAUUGUUGUGGGCAUACCGCGCUGGGCCUCGAGCUGGCUGGGCCAGGGCCCCGAGUCCUGUCUGCGGCAGACAUCCAGCAUCACGUGGCCUUGCUAUACAGCAACCUGGAAAGCCACGCGAAAAGCUAAGAUGCCCCCUCGGUGCCCCCUCGGGAGGCUGUGGGUGGAGACGAGUGAGGCAGGCAGCCUCCGUGUAGCGGGGGUUUGGUUUCUUCAGCACCGAGUCCGCUUGUGUGGGAGGGGUACCCUGGGGCGCUCUCAGGCACACUUCGUGGCCUGUAUCACUGGCACGGCCGGCGUGGUCCGACAAACCAGCCAUCCUAGAAUUACCCACCUUUUCACGCGUGUCAGAUGCUGCACAGAGGGUGUCUUUUCCCAUCACUUGAGCACAGGGACGCUGGAUAACGAACAGGUAGGCGCUAACUUGGCACAGAUCUCCAGGCUCCUGGGGGCAGAGCUCCCGGGCACCGGGCACCUUCAGGGAGGAGAGGGGCUUGGCUCUGGGUAGUAGCGUCCCCCUGCUGAGGAUGCGGCAGCAGGGAGCUAAGAUGUAACAGAGGCGGCAGCCAGCUGUGCCCGCUGCAAGGGAACUGUUAUCACCGAGCCAGGUUAGCACGGAGUAAAAGCUGGGACGCUGCACUGGGGACCUGGGUCCAAACGCAGGCUGUGCCCUCUCCUGAGCGGCCUUGGACAAGCUGCCUCUAUGAGCUCAGCCCCCUCAUCUGUGAAAGGGGGUGACCGAUGUUACCAGCCCUUAAUGGAAUUGCUAUAAGGAGCAAUGAGAUGACACAAAGGCACCCGUCCCAGGCCUGCGUGGCAGUGGCUUUCAAUAAAUGGCAGCUGCUAUUAUGAUUUCUGGGCCUUCAGCCUUCUCUGAAGUGGGGCUCUAGCUCCAGCAUCAGUCCUCACAGCUCACAUACGCCCCAGUUCACAGUCAGCAGAUAGAGGGGCGCUCUGGGCCUAGCUUCCUCACUGCAGAGUGGGUGACACAAGGCACUGAGGCUUAAAGGGAGCCUCGCGUCCGGCCCAAGGGCGCUGCGUCCUGCGUUGCCACUGGGAAGGGUCGGGCCGGGCACCGCGGGCUUUGAUCCGCCCGCUUUCCCUCCAGGCAGGGCAGGCCAGCAGCUCGCGUCCCGGGGGAGGGGGUGGGGUGGGGGUGGCCCCGCCCGGCCCGCCCCCUUUGAUCUCUGGACCCCGGCUGUGAAGCCUCAGCUGCGGCCUCGGGGUCCAGCGCACCUGGGGGCGGGCGGGCGGGGACAGGAAUGAGGAGGGCUGAAGGAAGUGCGCGCAGGACCUCCUCCGGGAGCCGCGCCCUUCCGCCACGGCGCUCAGCGGCCUUGACCUUCCAGGUCGCACGCCCUUCCGUCCCGUUCCGGAAGCCAAUAGCCGCGCGACGGGCGGCGCGGACGCAGCGUGGCGGCGAGGGGGCGGGGCCGGGAGGGGUUCUUACGUGAUCGGGGGCGGGGUCUCUGAGCGACCGGCUCCGGAAGCCCGGGCGAGGGCGCAGCCGGCCAGCGGCGCAGCCGAGGGGGCGAGGCGGGGGUUCGGGGCGUGGCCUCUACGCGCUGGGGGCGGUGCCUCUGGCUGUUGUCUCCCAUCUGCGGGGGCGGCGGGAGGUUCGGAAGUAGCGUCGCAGUCCAGAGGGCGGGGCCUGGGCGGAGCCUUGCGCGGCUGGCUCGGAAGCUCCGGGGAAGGCAAGGCAAGGCGGUGCUAGGGGCGGAGCCUGGGCGGGGCCUCUGUGCGGCCGCGGCGCAGUUGUGAUUUCAGUUUCUGCGUCCCGCCCUUCCCACCUGGAGCUUGUUUGACCUUUUCUUGGGUGCCGAGAUAUUUGAGCUAGAUUUCAUCUAAUUCAGAUUUCAUUACUUUAGACUUUCAUUUUUUAAAGUUUGAUAAUUUUCUGUCUUUUUCCCUCUUCCCCUGACAGGUAAAAACCUGACAGUAAAGACUUUGGAAAACCUAGGAAUGGACAAAUUAAAAGGAGAAAUCUAUCAAAUCUCACAGCACAGAUCAGGGACGAGCUCAGUGUGGACUCUGGUAUUGAGUCAUUUUUUUUUUUGUAAAUAUAUAGAUUUUUAAUUAACACCGUACAUACAUUUGAGGAUGCCUUAAAAAUAACUGAUUUUUUUUCUGACUGCAGAGGCAUGCAUUUUUCCUUCAUUUUUACACAAUUGUACAUAUCUUUUAAACAAAAAUGGGAUUGUACUGUACAUAUUGUUUUGCAAUUUCUCCUUUCGUGCAUGGUUAUAUUAGAAAUGUCCCCACUGAAUGCUCAUUUACAGUGUUCUUUGUAAUCACACAGCCCUGUGUUGGGUGGUCCAUAUUUUAUUUAACCUAUUUGCUAUAUUGAACAUUGAUAUUCAUAGUUUCCAUCUCUUCCUUCUUUUAUGAUGAACAUGCUUGCAGUUAAAGCUGCAUGUUCAUGAAAAUUUUUUAUCAUAGAUUCCUAGCUGUGGAAUUACUGAGUCAAAGAAUAUACAUAUUCACUAAUGUUUCAUGCACCCCUCUUUUUUAUGUUCUCCAAGUUUAAAAAGUAAUAAAUGAAUGUUUUAA
Long non-coding RNA from Hipposideros armiger (great roundleaf bat), 5260 nucleotides. RefSeq lists it as uncharacterized. The transcript has 5 exons. NCBI's taxonomy places the organism in Eukaryota, Metazoa, Chordata, Mammalia, Chiroptera, Hipposideridae. The record is from RefSeq and is a predicted model, not a curated record.